CGGAAGCCAAAACUCCUAGAAGAUAACGGAUCAGUCAGGACUACAUCGCACCUGGUUGAUCAUUUUCUAUCAAUGAUUAUCGAUAAAUCAGUGAAGUUUCAGGAAAAAAGUAAAACACCUAGGGAAAGAUUACACAUCACCCAAAACACGACAUUACCAUCCAAGAAUGAGUAAACGUCAGUAAAAUGGAAAGGCGGACAGAAGACGAUAAAUUGAGAAAAACAGAAGCGGCACCCUAGGACUGCGGAGAUAACCCAUUAGUGGAAGCGUAAUUUAUCAUACAAGUAUUGGGUGAGCUGUCAGCAACAAACGAACACGACCAUAGUGUGAGUACGAGUCAAAAUGUAUCAGUAAACCCAUGGCAGUGGAAUAUGUAAAACUUCAGUGUUCAGUCGGCUCAAUAAGGCAGCUCUGAUGGCGGUCAGAAAACCACAGGAAACGCCGACAAACGUCAUGAGAAUACCUCUAGAUGGGGACUAAUUUGGCUGCUAUCGAUCAUUGCACUAACCUUCAAUCAUGCACCCAAUCAACAGAUUAAGCCAACAGAAAAGUGAACCACGUCGAUCACGUUCCUCAUGUAACGACGCCAGACAUGGGAAAGAGCCGGCCACGCGCUUGAUUUAUUUUCCGCACAGUUAAUAAAUGUGUUAAUAAACAAAUAAUAAAAUUACAAACGAAAUACGCUGAAGCAAACGUU
Varroa destructor (honeybee mite) is the source of this 697-nucleotide long non-coding RNA. Lineage: Eukaryota; Metazoa; Arthropoda; Arachnida; Mesostigmata; Varroidae. The record is from RefSeq and is a predicted model, not a curated record.